Molecule: ribosomal RNA, 252 nt
Filed under: uncultured prokaryote
Description: partial 16S rRNA
Rfam family: Bacterial small subunit ribosomal RNA
Source: RNAcentral
ACAGAGACCUCAAGCGUUACUCGGAUUCACUGGGCGUAAAGGGAACGUAGGUGGCACAAGUGUGUUGGGCGUGAAAUUCUGGGGCUUAACCCCGGCGCUGCGUCCAAAACUACUUUGCUAGAGUACUGUAGAGAUGAGCGGAAUUUCUGGUGUAGCGGUAAAAUGCGUAGAUAUCAGAAAGAACACCAACGGCGAAGGCAGCUCAUUGGGCAGUCACUGACACUGAGGUUCGAAAGCGUGGGGAGCAAAAAG